This is a small nucleolar RNA of Ornithorhynchus anatinus (platypus), 138 nucleotides long. Lineage: Eukaryota; Metazoa; Chordata; Mammalia; Monotremata; Ornithorhynchidae. The record is from RefSeq and is a predicted model, not a curated record.
CCCCUCUCAGGGUCACACUUGGAGAGUUUCCAGUGCUCUACCAGUCUUGGCAACGGGAGGGAGAAUAAAGCAGGGGCCUACCCAUUCCAUUCCUAGUUUGGCCAGUGGCUAGUGAAUGGAAGGCAAUCUCCUGCAAGU